RNAcentral lists this ribosomal RNA (389 nucleotides) under uncultured bacterium. RNAcentral's name for it is "bacterial SSU rRNA". It matches the Rfam family "Bacterial small subunit ribosomal RNA", at positions 28 to 417 of the family's 1533-position model. The record is from RNAcentral.
GACGAACGCUGGCGGCGUGCUUAACACAUGCAAGUCGAGCGGUAAGGCCCUUUCGGGGGUACACGAGCGGCGAACGGGUGAGUAACACGUGGGUGACCUGCCUCUAGCUCUGGGAUAAGCCUGGGAAGGCUGGGUCUAAUACCGGAUAUGACCUCGCGGUGCAUGUUGCGGGGUGGAAAGCCUUGUGCGGCUAGGGAUGGGCCCGCGGCCUAUCAGCUUGUUGGUGGGGUGAUGGCCUACCAAGGCGACGACGGGUAGCCGGCCUGAGAGGGCGACCGGCCACACUGGGACUGAGACACGGCCCAGACUCCUACGGGAGGCAGCAGUGGGGAAUCUUGCGCAAUGGGCGAAAGCCUGACGCAGCGACGCCGCGUGAGGGAUGACGGCCU